Molecule: ribosomal RNA, 405 nt
Filed under: uncultured bacterium
Lineage: Bacteria
Description: bacterial SSU rRNA
Rfam family: Bacterial small subunit ribosomal RNA
Source: RNAcentral
GGGGAAUAUUGCACAAUGGGCGCAAGCCUGAUGCAGCAACGCCGCGUGAGGGAUGACGGCCUUCGGGUUGUAAACCUCUUUUAGUAGGGAAGAAGCGAAAGUGACGGUACCUGCAGAAAAAGCACCGGCUAACUACGUGCCAGCAGCCGCGGUAAUACGUAGGGUGCAAGCGUUGUCCGGAAUUAUUGGGCGUAAAGAGCUCGUAGGCGGCUUGUCGCGUCUGCUGUGAAAACCCGGGGCUCAACCCCGGGCCUGCAGUGGGUACGGGCAGGCUAGAGUGCGGUAGGGGAGAUUGGAAUUCCUGGUGUAGCGGUGGAAUGCGCAGAUAUCAGGAGGAACACCGAUGGCGAAGGCAGAUCUCUGGGCCGCUACUGACGCUGAGGAGCGAAAGCAUGGGGAGCGAAC